UACGUAGGGACCGAGCGUUGUCCGGAAUCAUUGGGCGUAAAGAGCGUGUAGGCGGCCACUUAAGUCCUGCGUGAAAUCUUGCGGCUCAACCGCAAGCGGUCGUGGGAAACUGGGUGGCUAGAGUGCGGGAGAGGAGAGUGGAAUUCCUGGUGUAGCGGUGGAAUGCGCAGAUAUCAGGAAGAACACCGAUGGCGAAGGCAGGUCACUGGGCCGCAACUGACGCUGAGGAGCGAAAGCAUGGGGAGCGAACAGG
This 253-nucleotide ribosomal RNA is filed under the name uncultured bacterium. RNAcentral describes it as "partial 16S ribosomal RNA". It matches the Rfam family "Bacterial small subunit ribosomal RNA", at positions 524 to 776 of the family's 1533-position model. The record is from RNAcentral.